GCCUAAAGCGUCCGUAGCCGGCUCUGUUAGUUUUCGGUUAAAUCCAAAUGCUCAACAUAUGGGCCGCCGGGAAUACUACAAAGCUAGGGGGUGGGAGAGGUAGACGGUACUCCGUAGGAAGGGGUAAAAUCCUUUGAUCUAUGGAUGACCACCAGUGGCGAAGGCGGUCUACCAGAACACGUUCGACGGUGAGGGAUGAAAGCUGGGGGAGCAAACCGGAUUAGAUACCCGGGUAGUCCCAGCUGUAAACUAUGCAAACUCAGUGAUGCAUUGGCUUGUGGCCAGUGCAGUGCCGCAGAGAAGUCGUUAAGUUUGCCGCCUGGGAAGUACGUACGCAAGUAUGAAACUUAAAGGAAUUGGCGGGGGAGCACCACAAGGGGUGAAGCCUGCGGUUCAAUUGGAGUCAACGCCAGAAAUCUUACCCGGAGAGACAGCAGAAUGAAGGUCAAGUUGAAGCCUUUACCAGACAAGCUGAGAAGUGGUGCAUGGCCGUCGCCAGCUCGUGCCGUGAGGUGUCCUGUUAAGUCAGGUAACGAGCGAGAUCCUUGCCUCUAGUUGCUACCAUUACUCUCAGGAGUAGUGGGGCGAAUUAGCGGGACUGCCGUAGUUAAUACGGAGGAAGGAGAGGGCCACGGCAGGUCAGUAUGCCCCGAA
RNAcentral lists this ribosomal RNA (654 nucleotides) under uncultured archaeon. RNAcentral describes it as "bacterial SSU rRNA". It matches the Rfam family "Archaeal small subunit ribosomal RNA", at positions 508 to 1160 of the family's 1478-position model. The record is from RNAcentral.